UCCCCUCACCAUCAAAUUAUCAUUUCCCACUUCCAUCGUCCUCUCCGUCUCUCUCGCGCGUGCCCUAACAUUCCCUAGUCUCCGAAAUCCCUUUCUCUCACCUCGAUCCCUCGUCUCCCAUGGCGCCCAAGGGCGAGAAGAAGCCCGCGGAGAAGAAGCCCGCGGCCUCCGACAAGGCGGAGGAGGAGAAGGAGAAGAAGGGUUCCGGUGCGGCGGAGAAGGCCCCCGCGGCGGAGAAGAAGCCGAAGGCGGGGAAGCGGCUCCCGUCGAAGGAGGGGGGAGGCGCGGGUGCGGGUUCCGGCGACAAGAAGAAGAAGAAGAAGGCGAAGAAGGGGAGCGAGACGUACAAGAUCUACAUCUUCAAGGUGCUCAAGCAGGUCCACCCCGACAUCGGCAUCUCCAGCAAGGCCAUGAGCAUCAUGAACUCCUUCAUCAACGACAUCUUCGAGAAGCUCGCUCAGGAGGCCUCCCGCCUCGCCCGCUACAACAAGAAGCCCACCAUCACCUCCCGCGAGAUCCAGACCUCGGUCCGCCUCGUCCUCCCCGGCGAGCUCGCCAAGCACGCCGUCUCCGAGGGCACCAAGGCCGUCACCAAGUUCACCAGCUCCUAGGGAUCCGAUUGCGGUUGUCAUGUUUAACAGCUGUGGAAUUCUAGGGAGGCCAUUAUACUCUUUGGAACCAUUAAAAGAUGCUGGAGUAAUAAGAGGCAGUAGAAUACAGAGACCCAAAGUGUUUGAUUUGGUGAAUCAUGCAUCUGAAGAUUGGGCAUUAAUAAUGGCCGUGGAUGGAAGGGUACGCAUCUUGAACUUAUUCUGAGAGACUGAUUAAACUGGCAUCUUCGCAUGGUGGACAACUAUGCUCAUACUAUUGGAUAAGGCCUGAUUGAUAGUGGUUGAUUCGUAUUCUCAUAUUUUUUUGUGUUUAUCCUUGAAAAGCUUGUAGCUAUCUUCUGAAUACAUGAUGAUUCUAUAUAUUGCGUUUAUCUAUAUGUGUACAUAUGUAUUGCAUAGAACCAAUGUAUUCCUUAUUUCUUCUUGUAAGAUGACAGAUUUGGGCCUA
RNA transcript from Ananas comosus (pineapple), 1059 nucleotides. It is a transcript of the gene named histone H2B.11-like, with no coding region annotated. Lineage: Eukaryota; Viridiplantae; Streptophyta; Magnoliopsida; Poales; Bromeliaceae. The record is from RefSeq and is a predicted model, not a curated record. The transcript is spliced from 3 exons.